AUGAAGAACCCUGGCUCACAAGCCCUGCUUCCUUUAUAUCUUCCCUGGGAAGCCAACCUGGCAGAUGAGAAUCCACUCCUGAAAGUAGUCAUUUUCUUAUGCCUCUUGACAUUUGGACAUGGGAAGUUGGAGCAACCUGAAAUAUCAAUUUCCAGACCAAGAGAUGAGACUGCACAAAUAUCCUGUAAAGUUUUCAUCGAAAGCUUUAGGAGUGUAACCAUACACUGGUACCGGCAGAAACCAAACCAAGGUUUAGAGUUUCUAUUAUAUGUCCUUGCAACCCCUACCCAUAUUUUCUUAGAUAAGGAGUACAAGAAAAUGGAGGCAAGUAAAAAUCCUAGUGCUUCUACAUCGAUAUUGACAAUAUAUUCCUUGGAGGAAGAAGACGAAGCUAUCUACUACUGUUCCUACGGCUAAAG
Molecule: non-coding RNA, 419 nt
Organism: Mus musculus (house mouse)
Lineage: Eukaryota; Metazoa; Chordata; Mammalia; Rodentia; Muridae
Source: the annotation of a RefSeq genome assembly